UGGGGAAUAUUGCACAAUGGGCGCAAGCCUGAUGCAGCCAUGCCGCGUGUAUGAAGAAGGCCUUCGGGUUGUAAAGUACUUUCAGCGGGGAGGAAGGGAGUAAAGUUAAUACCUUUGCUCAUUGACGUUACCCGCAGAAGAAGCACCGGCUAACUCCGUGCCAGCAGCCGCGGUAAUACGGAGGGUGCAAGCGUUAAUCGGAAUUACUGGGCGUAAAGCGCACGCAGGCGGUUUGUUAAGUCAGAUGUGAAAUCCCCGGGCUCAACCUGGGAACUGCAUCUGAUACUGGCAAGCUAGAGUCUCGUAGAGGGGGGUAGAAUUCCAGGUGUAGCGGUGAAAUGCGUAGAGAUCUGGAGGAAUACCGGUGGCGAAGGCGGCCCCCUGGACGAAGACUGCCGCUCAGGUGCGAAAGCGUGGGGAGCAAACAGG
RNAcentral lists this ribosomal RNA (429 nucleotides) under Chloroflexota bacterium. RNAcentral's name for it is "Chloroflexi bacterium partial 16S ribosomal RNA". It matches the Rfam family "Bacterial small subunit ribosomal RNA", at positions 355 to 776 of the family's 1533-position model. The record is from RNAcentral. Lineage: Bacteria; Bacillati; Chloroflexota.